UUCYGGUUGAUCCUGCCRGACCCGACUGCUAUCAGAGUGAGACUAAGCCAUGCGAGUUAACGUAUGAAUAAUACGUGGCACACGGCUCAGUAACACGUAGUCAACAUGCCCAGAGGACGUGGAUAACCUCGGGAAACUGAGGAUAAACCGCGAUAGGCCAUAAUUACUGGAAUGGGUUACGGCUUAAACCUAUAUGGCCUCUGGAUUGGACUGCGGCCGAUCAGGCUGUUGGUGAGGUAAUGGCCCACCAAACCUGUUACCGGUACGGGCUCUGAGAGGAGGAGCCCGGAGAUGGGCACUGAGACAAGGGCCCAGGCCCUAUGGGGCGCAGCAGGCGCGAAACCUCUGCAAUAGGCGAAAGCCUGACAGGGUUACUCUGAGUGAUUCCCGCUAAGGGGAUCUUUUGGCACCUCUAAAAAUGGUGCAGAAUAAGGGGUGGGCAAGUCUGGUGUCAGCCGCCGCGGUAAUACCAGCACCCCGAGUGGUCGGGACGAUUAUUGGGCCUAAAGCAUCCGUAGUCGGUCAUGCAAGUCCUCCGUUAAAUCCACCUGCUCAACAGAUGGGCUGCGGAGGAUACUACAAGGCUAGGAGGCGGAAGAGGCAAGCGGUACUCAGUGGGUAGGGGUAAAAUCCUCUGAUCCAUUGAAGACCACCAGUGGCGAAGGCGGCUUGCCAAUACGCGCUCGACGGUGAGGGAUGAAAGCUGGGGGAGCAAACCGGAUUAGAUACCCGGGUAGUCCCAGCUGUAAACGAUGCAGACUCGGUGAUGGGCCGGCUUUAUGCCGGCUCAGUGCCGCAGGGAAGCCGUUAAGUCUGCCGCCUGGGGAGUACGGUCGCAAGACUGAAACUUAAAGGAAUUGGCGGGGGAGCACCACAAGGGGUGAAGCCUGCGGUUCAAUUGGABUCAACGCCGGR
RNAcentral lists this ribosomal RNA (915 nucleotides) under uncultured archaeon. RNAcentral describes it as "bacterial SSU rRNA". It matches the Rfam family "Archaeal small subunit ribosomal RNA", at positions 1 to 922 of the family's 1478-position model. The record is from RNAcentral.